AACCUCCCCUAAAAAUAAUCAAUUAUUAAAGAUUAGAAAAUACUGAAAUGCUUAUAUUUUAAAAUAACCACUCUAACCGUACAUUUUCCGUUCAGUCUUCCUUUGCCCUGUGUUUGCAGUCAUCGUGUGAGGGGCUGGCCAUGUUCAGCCCAGGCAACCCACAGCCAGAGAGGGCAGAGCGGGGAGAUGGGCCCUGGUGAGCACUGAGGCUCUUCAAACCAGCUGCCAAGGGAGUUGCAAGCUGGGUGACACAUGAGGCUCAUUAUUUAGUGGUAUUUUAUGUUCUUACUUGUCCCCAGUUUGUGUAGCUCACAGACUUUUUUUUUUUUUUUAACAUUUCUAUAGGGGUCAUUUGAAGUUCAUAACGCCAUCAAAUAUCAGUACAGGGUCUUCCCAUUAUUUACCGGCUUUGGGAUAUGUGCUGAGGAGUGGCCGCGCACUGAAGGAAUGUGACCGGUUGUCCCAAGUGUUGUCCUCCAACUCAAAAUCCGCAACCAGUUCAAAAGCAUUUGGGCUUUUAUGUGCCUUUCACAUAAAGACUAUGACACAGCUAAGCUAUUCAUGUACUAAUACCUGCCCUGAGCUGUGUGACCACAGACACCACCCUAUAAUGUGCCCAGUGUGUAGGAACUCUACAGGCUCAGAUCAUUCCACACAUACAUGCAGAUGUUGGAACUCCCUUGCACAGUGACUCAUGAUCCCAAGGCUGAGUGCUGAGGGCAGGUCAGUAGUUCAGAGCCUCAGCAUUGGGGCUGUAUGCUUGGGUUCCCAUCUUGGCUCUUUUGCUGAGGGGCUCAUAAGCUUGGGCACAUUCAUCUCUGUCUUUUUCUGCCCAGCGAAAGGUGAUAGUAAAUCAAUCAUGCCAUUUGUCUGUGGUGAUGGCCGAAUGAUUUGAUGUAGGUAAAGUGUACAGUAUAAGUGCUCAUGAGGCUUAAUUAUCAGUGAAAUGUCUUGCUUUAGAUUUCACAGCUUAAUAAGGCUCAGAGGCUUAUUCACGCCCAGGAUUCUGACCUCCCAAGUCAUUGUUCUAUGACAUACACCUGCUUGGCCUAAAACCGACCACUUUAUCAUAAUGCAGACCCAGUUUUGAAAGAAGCAGAUAAAGUUGUCAAAAGUACUGUGUCUGCCUCAGCGCACACUCAGUGCGCUCCACACAAAGGGCAUCACCAUCUGCCACAAUGGCCCAGUGGCCUGGCUGGCACAGACAGUGGCAGAGCAAAGGGCAACAGAUCCCUAAUCCAAUCACCAUGGUCGAUAGGGCAUCAUAGACAUUCCAGGGUGAAGGCACAAUCCACAUUGUGAGGUCCAACUGCUGCCAUGUAGACAGGUGUGUUUUUACAUGUACAGGAAGAUCAUUGAAGAUAAGUGUUUUAUAUCCAUGGUUAACAGAUGAGAUGACCAUGAAAUGAACACCAGUGUACUGGGUGGAGCAGCUUAUCUAUUCAGUCUUCUGCACUAAAACCUGUGAAACAAUAUCAUCUUGCCUUAUUUACUAACAAAUACAAGUGCCUCUAAACUUAGACAGUUUCCAAGUCAUGGAACUGAUGAGCACUUAGCUCCUGCAGAGAGCUCUGGAUGAUGGGUCGGGAGAACAAAGACACAAUACAUCAAAACAGCAUUAACAAGUAAACAGGUUUUCAAAGCUCUCUACAUGCAAAUUUACACAAUUAUCCUUUUAAUUUUUAUCUUCAUAUAUAUGUACAUAAUCUACUUGCUUCUGAGUAUAAAUAAAACUGUAUGUUCUUAGUUAAUAGUCUCUACCAAUUCAUUCUAUUUAUCUUUCUGAGUUGAAAUACUGCAUCUCAUUGGAUAACAAAAAAAAAUUUGACUAAGAUUACACUGGAAAGGUGAGUAGGUUGGGUAAAUGACUGUGAUUGACAAUUCCAUGAUUUUGGAGAAGUCCCAAAGCAUAAAAAUAAAUGUGUGUUUUAUUUCACACGUAGACAAUACACAUUUUUAUUACUUUAAAAAAAUAAUAUGUGAAUGGAAAUGACUUACUACAAAUUUAUUAACGUAAAUACACAUUUCACAAAAAAAGAAGAGAGGAAGGGAAAAACAUGUUAAAAACAAAGAGAGGUACAUUUUAUUGUGUGAAAAGCCUCCAACCCAUCCAUACUACUGUGGCUUUGUUCCAAAGUUUUGGAAAGUAAUGAUUUCAUAGGUUCUUAAUAAGGUUAAAAACUGCAUUAAAAUAGACUUUGCCACAUUCUCCCUUAGGGAAUAACUUAAUCUGUAGGGUGGGGGAUGGAACGUUGAAGGAUGCAGAUGUAAAAGGAAAUUAUAUAUAUAUAUAUAUAUAUAUAAUAUAUAUACGUAUAUAUUAUGAAGAUAUAUGUAUAUAUAUUAUAUAUAAUUAUAUAUAUAAUAUAUAUAUAAUUUGGGAAUUUGGGAAUAAAUUGUAUCCCAACUCACACUGGGACUACACCAGCUGCCACCAUGCCUGGCUAAUUUUUCGUAUUUUUAGUAGAGACAGGGUUUCACUGAAUUGGCCAGGAUGGUCUUGAUCUCCUCACCUUGUGAUCCUCUUGCCUUGGCCUCCCAAAGUGCUGGGAUUACAGGCCUGAGCCAAGAUACAUAUUUUUUAAAGGAAGAAAAAUUUCAAAGGUACUCUGUUUGGUACAAUAAUCAAAUAUAUAAAUUGAGGAAUAAAACAUAACCACGAAACAUAUUUAUAACUGCAUAUGGAAAAUACAGAGGAUAAUUUUUUAAAUAACAUAUUUUGAAAACCUUAACUAGGAAUUUGAAAAGAUCGCAUUUGACAGGCCAGUAUGAACACAACUUGAACGCAGCAAGACAGGUUCCCCAUAAAAAAAUCAAACACAGGGAAAAUGAAACCACAAAGUUUCAAUCUGCUCUGACCUUUGAAAAACUCAGCACAGACAGUGGCACUUAGGACCAACAGCAGGAGAUCCCUAAUCCCAUCACCAUGGCGAUAGGGCAUAAACAUUCCAGGGUGAAGUCACAAUCCACAUUGGGAGGUCCAACUGCUGCCAGGCAGACAGGUGUGCCUUUACAUGUACAGGAAGGUCAUUGAAGGCUCAGUGUUUUGUUUCAAAAACUGAAUCCCAAGACCAAACAUUGUUAUGCUGUGCUUCUUAAAAUAAGUUAUGAGAUGGGAAAGAGGGCACCCCAAAUAUAUAUAUAUAAUUAUAUAUAAUAUAAUAUAUAUAAUAUACAUAAUUAUGUAUAAUAUAAUAUAUAUAAUAUACAUAAUCUCCU
This 3219-nucleotide long non-coding RNA is filed under the name Homo sapiens (human). RNAcentral's name for it is "long non-coding RNA NONHSAT191990.1". Lineage: Eukaryota; Metazoa; Chordata; Mammalia; Primates; Hominidae. The record is from RNAcentral.